Molecule: ribosomal RNA, 799 nt
Filed under: Salmonella enterica
Lineage: Bacteria; Pseudomonadati; Pseudomonadota; Gammaproteobacteria; Enterobacterales; Enterobacteriaceae
Description: partial 23S ribosomal RNA
Rfam family: Bacterial large subunit ribosomal RNA
Source: RNAcentral
AUGUGUAGGAUAGGUGGGAGGCUUUGAAGCGUGGACGCCAGUCUGCGUGGAGCCGACCUUGAAAUACCACCCUUUAAUGUUUGAUGUUCUAACGUGGACCCGUAAUCCGGGUUGCGGACAGUGUCUGGUGGGUAGUUUGACUGGGGCGGUCUCCUCCUAAAGAGUAACGGAGGAGCACGAAGGUUGGCUAAUCCUGGUCGGACAUCAGGAGGUUAGUGCAAUGGCAUAAGCCAGCUUGACUGCGAGCGUGACGGCGCGAGCAGGUGCGAAAGCAGGUCAUAGUGAUCCGGUGGUUCUGAAUGGAAGGGCCAUCGCUCAACGGAUAAAAGGUACUCCGGGGAUAACAGGCUGAUACCGCCCAAGAGUUCAUAUCGACGGCGGUGUUUGGCACCUCGAUGUCGGCUCAUCACAUCCUGGGGCUGAAGUAGGUCCCAAGGGUAUGGCUGUUCGCCAUUUAAAGUGGUACGCGAGCUGGGUUUAGAACGUCGUGAGACAGUUCGGUCCCUAUCUGCCGUGGGCGCUGGAGAACUGAGGGGGGCUGCUCCUAGUACGAGAGGACCGGAGUGGACGCAUCACUGGUGUUCGGGUUGUCAUGCCAAUGGCACUGCCCGGUAGCUAAAUGCGGAAGAGAUAAGUGCUGAAAGCAUCUAAGCACGAAACUUGCCCCGAGAUGAGUUCUCCCUGAGACUUAGAGUCUCCUGAAGGAACGUUGAAGACGACGACGUUGAUAGGCCGGGUGUGUAAGCGCAGCGAUGCGUUGAGCUAACCGGUACUAAUGAACCGUGAGGCUUAACCUUAC